RNAcentral lists this unclassified non-coding RNA (308 nucleotides) under uncultured fungus. RNAcentral describes it as "partial internal transcribed spacer 1". The record is from RNAcentral. Lineage: Eukaryota; Fungi.
UCCAUAAAUAGUCCUUUAAAUCGGCUCGAAAAUUUUGAAUUCAUUCCACGGCAGUUGUCGCCAGCGGCUGACAGGGUCUUGCAGAUAAUGGGUGGCUUCCUGUAAAUCCCGUCCGGCAAGCGCUGUUGGCGUGUCACGUAGCGUGAGCCAUACCCGGCGAGCGCGAACGUAGGCGGUGGCGUAAUCCUCCCAGGAAUCAAAACAGUCCUGAGCGCGCUGGGCGUUGAGCAAUAGCACCAGCCAGGCCUCGUUUUCGUUACACCAGCCGAGCCCGGCGAUACAGCGGGUCAGAAAGGCGGUGCGCAUAC